CGUGAGCUGUCAAAACAUAUUUCAAUAAUAAUUUUAAAAGAAAAUUAAUUAAGUUCGUUUCUUCUUUCUUUUCAUGUCUUCUCUCCUCUCUCCUCUCUUCCUUUGUCUUCUCUCCUCAUUUCUCCGGCUUUUUUCCUCUGUUUAUAUAUAUAUAUAUAAAUAUAUAUCGAAGCAGAUCAAACGCAGAACUCUUAAAUGAUAUAACUCCUUAAAUAGCAGAACUAUUUAAUGGCUUUCUUGUUUUUUUAAUUUCUCUCUCCUCACUCGUUCACACUCGCCAGACUUCUCCAAAUCUCGUAACACGCUAGACUUCUUCCUUCUCCAAAUCUUCACAAAACGAAGCCCUAGGAUGGGAACGAAGAAUCUCCACUUCCAAUCUCCACUUCGAACGAAGAAUCUCCACUUCGAAUCGGUAAGCCCUAGAACGAAGAACCCUCUUUGAAUCUCCAAUUAUGUGUGUGAUUUUGACCCUUUUAAUUCUGUAAUUUGAAAAUGCUUGAAUAAAGAUCUGUUGACCCUUAUCUGUUUGAAUAAUGGCCUUUUAAUUUUUCGAUUAUGUCAAAAAUAAUUGUAAUGUUCUUGAUAAUUACAGUUAUUCUCUUUCGUAUUCUUAAAUUUAAAUUUAUGAUAAAAUUGUUAUUAUUAUUAUUAUAAUAAUUAUUAUUAUUAGGCAAAAUAUUAUUAUUCUGAAUCUUUCGACUCCAAAAAAAAAAAUGAAAGAAUGGUAAAUCUGAAUUCCCAAAUAUUUGGAAUUUCUAGACGAACUUUUUGGGUAUACUAGUUAUCUCAAUACUGUUGCUUAAUUGGGUAGAAGGUUGCCUCUGCUUGUUUAGGCUCCAAUUGUCAACUUCAGCAUGAAUCCUCCAUAACCUACUGUAAUAAAAAUGAAUAUAAAGCUCAACUUUUUCUUGUUUGUGGGGGGUCAUUGCAUCAUUUGCACAUCAUCCGCAUUAUGUAAAUGUUGAACAACUAUUUGAUUUCUUCAAUUUCAAAAUAAACAGGUUGUAAAACUUUAAACUGCUCAUUCAACUGAGCUUCAAAGAACUAUAAAAAUCAAAUGCAUUUUUUUUAUGUUUUUUUGAUUAUACUGCCACUAGUUCUGCUUACUAAAACUUUAAACUGUAUAUUCAACAUAAUGAGGAUUCGGAACCAUUUACUGGGGAAAGACCUCCGAUGGUCUUCAGGUAAUUAAUUAAGCGUUUACAUGCAGCAUAUCAUGACUAUUUUUUCUUGUCACUGCCAUCUCAAUUUGUUAUUGUUGUUAAUUUUGUGCGUGCGUGUGUGCAGAUAGCCGUAAAGAAGUUGAAGUCUAUGAAUUCAAAAGCAGAGA
RNAcentral lists this long non-coding RNA (1330 nucleotides) under Panax ginseng (ginseng). Its description in RNAcentral is "long non-coding RNA (PGIN_LNC003067)". The record is from RNAcentral. Lineage: Eukaryota; Viridiplantae; Streptophyta; Magnoliopsida; Apiales; Araliaceae.